This 253-nucleotide ribosomal RNA is filed under the name uncultured bacterium. Its description in RNAcentral is "partial 16S ribosomal RNA". It matches the Rfam family "Bacterial small subunit ribosomal RNA", at positions 524 to 776 of the family's 1533-position model. The record is from RNAcentral.
UACGUAGGUGACAAGCGUUGUCCGGAUUUACUGGGCGUAAAGAGCGCGCAGGCGGUCGAUCAAGUCGAGUGUGAAAGCCCCCGGCUCAACUGGGGAGGGUCAUUCGAUACUGAUCGACUCGAAGGCAGGAGAGGGUAGUGGAAUUCCCGGUGUAGUGGUGAAAUGCGUAGAUAUCGGUAGGAACACCAGUGGCGAAGGCGACUACCUGGCCUGUUCUUGACGCUGAGGCGCGAAAGCUAGGGGAGCAAACGGG